GAGGAAUAUUGGUCAAUGGGCGCGAGCCUGAACCAGCCAAGUAGCGUGCAGGAUGACGGCCCUAUGGGUUGUAAACUGCUUUUGUAUGGGGAUAAAGUCAAUCACGUGUGAUUGUUUGCAGGUACCAUACGAAUAAGGACCGGCUAAUUCCGUGCCAGCAGCCGCGGUAAUACGGAAGGUCCGGGCGUUAUCCGGAUUUAUUGGGUUUAAAGGGAGCGUAGGCCGGAGAUUAAGUGUGUUGUGAAAUGUAGACGCUCAACGUCUGACUUGCAGCGCAUACUGGUUUCCUUGAGUACGCACAACGUUGGCGGAAUUCGUCGUGUAGCGGUGAAAUGCUUAGAUAUGACGAAGAACUCCGAUUGCGAAGGCAGCUGACGGGAGCGCAACUGACGCUUAAGCUCGAAGGUGCGGGUAUCGAACAGGAUUAGAUACCCUGGUAGUCCGCACAGUAAACGAUGGAUGCCCGCUGUUGGUGCCUGGUAUCAGCGGCUAAGCGAAAGCAUUAAGCAUCCCACCUGGGGAGUACGCCGGCAACGGUG
Molecule: ribosomal RNA, 539 nt
Filed under: uncultured bacterium
Lineage: Bacteria
Description: bacterial SSU rRNA
Rfam family: Bacterial small subunit ribosomal RNA
Source: RNAcentral